RNAcentral lists this long non-coding RNA (1859 nucleotides) under Equus caballus (horse). RNAcentral's name for it is "lncRNA (ENSECAG00000031238.3)". Lineage: Eukaryota; Metazoa; Chordata; Mammalia; Perissodactyla; Equidae. The record is from RNAcentral.
AAAUUCUGCUACCUCCGUUAUGUUCUCAUCACGUAUAUACCAGUCAGCUAAUACCCCCGAAAUCAUUUUCAGCCCCUUGUAACAAAAAAGUGUGUGGGGGUGGUGAAUGUCUAGAAAAAUACAGGGUCAGAAAAGGAAAGUUUUAGUAGCUCCUGGGAAUCACUUCAGGACUCAAGAACAGUAAUUCCUGAGCUUAAAGGUUUUGGUCCUCAGUCACCACAGGGUCAGUAGAUUAGAUGGAAGGAUCCUCUCAGGCAUCUCAGGAAAUAAGCUCCCAACGUGUCAGAGACCAAUUUUCAAAAAGUUAAACACAUGAAUCUCACACACUAGAGUCUAAACUUGAGUCCAAAUGUUAUUCAACUCAUCUUACUGAGGAGACCAGUAAAGUGGUAAAGAAUGCUUUUAAAUAUAGUACUUUUACGGCACCAAGCUGGGGCCAAAGAAGCAAAUUUUCUUUGUUGGACAUAAACAGUUAAUGUUUUAAAAGGUAAUAAAUCUAUAAGCUUUGGAUUUAUCUUCUCCUGUGACAAAAGUCUACAAAUUAACAUUAUUCUAUUUUUAUGAAACACAGUGAAGGACAUCCAGAUUUGGACUCCUCCAUCUUACACUUCCCAUCCAAGCUUUCCUGGAGGGGAAUCUGUCCUCCCUCUGUCAACUCUCUCACCCAGUCUUCACUUCUCACCCUGCUGACAUGUGGCCUCUCCUGUAUUCCUUUCCAGCAGCCUCAGUAGAUCACAUUCAACCGAUGAUCAAGCCCCUUCACCUGAAAAACCAAAGCACAUCUUCUGGGAUUCCUAAGGCACUUGCCCUGCCAGGGUCUCGUAAUUCCUGAAUUCUAAUUUCAUAUUCCUGGUAGUCCACUUCUCCUAGGUCAUGUGAUUUAUCUCCACCUUCCUCUGUUUAUAUCGUUUCAUGGACUUUUCUACAUCUUCACCUAAACCCAAGGACUCUUCACGUCAUUCCCAGGAGCCCUCAGCUCUCAUGUUGCCUCUGAUUCCCUGCUCUCCUAUAAUCUCACCAAUGCUCAUCCCAUCACAGACCCAUGAGUGCAGCAGUGUCCUCUCUGGCCUCCCUGUCUCCAGUGGUGAAGUUGGGGAAGGGUGGCCCUAGGUAUGCCUCCCACCCUAAUGUUCCUACUUCAGGGUAAGCUCCCUGAGCAGGGAUGAGGCUGUCUAGCACAGCCUGGCAUUCCACUGCCAACCACCAGACUCAACACCAGAUUGGAAAACAGCUCCAGAGGAAGGAUAUCGUUUGUUUGAGGUCACCCGGUUUGCGAAGAUGAAGUCAGAGUUUACAGCCCAUGUUGUUCACCGAUGAGUUACGUCACUAACCACGUUCCAAAGUGAUGCUGAUGGAAAGAAUGCUGGUGCUUCAGAGUCCUGGGGCAACCUUGAGAAGCUGCAGAGGAGUGGACGACCACGAGCUGGGGCUUGUUUUAGAUGCUCCUUCUCUUCAAAUUUCGUGCUCAUCAAAGUACAUAUUUUUCUGCACUGUAUCAAAGAAUCCUUUGUUUAAUAGAAGACACAGAAUAAUUCGGUAUGGACCUUUGUCUGAGAGGCAUCAGAAGAGAUCACAUUCAUGUGCUUAGAGAACGUCACAUGUGCUCUGUGUCCUCCACGUAGGCAGGGCGGGAUGGCUGAAGUGGGCUGGAGUCCCCACAGGUAGGUGUGUCCCUGAUCAAACCUUAGCACAUCAGGUUCUGGUAAUAUAAUUUCUCCUUAGAGCAGACUUUUUAAGAACAGAAUGCUCUAGCAUAUUUCAAAAUUGUUCAUUUUUUCUUUCCUCUGUCAGAAGCACAAUAUUUUUUUCUCAGACAUUCACUGUAAGAGGCAGGUCCAGCUGUUGGAGGCAAAACUCAC